RNAcentral lists this transfer-messenger RNA (210 nucleotides) under Polymorphum gilvum SL003B-26A1. Its description in RNAcentral is "transfer-messenger RNA Polym_gilvu_SL003B". It matches the Rfam family "Alphaproteobacteria transfer-messenger RNA", at positions 148 to 355 of the family's 355-position model. Rfam says of the family: Bacterial tmRNA, also known as 10Sa RNA or SsrA, is named for its dual tRNA and mRNA-like properties. Its role is to liberate the mRNA from a stalled ribosome. To accomplish this part of the tmRNA is used as a reading frame that ends in a translation stop signal. The record is from RNAcentral. Lineage: Bacteria; Pseudomonadati; Pseudomonadota; Alphaproteobacteria; Rhodobacterales; Paracoccaceae.
GGGGGCGAAACAGGAUCGACGAGGGUGUAAAGACUGCGCUUUCGCUCGGCAUGGUACCACCGAUAUCGGGCCAUCCUUAUAGUUGCCAACGACAACUAUGCUUCGGACGUCGCUCUCGCCGCGUAAUGCGGUGCGGGUAGUCCACCAAAGUCCUUCCGGGUAGCACCGGCAGGCGGGGUCCGGAGGCACCUGGCAACAGAAGCCUCCACC